RNAcentral lists this ribosomal RNA (433 nucleotides) under uncultured bacterium. RNAcentral's name for it is "partial 16S ribosomal RNA". It matches the Rfam family "Bacterial small subunit ribosomal RNA", at positions 29 to 507 of the family's 1533-position model. The record is from RNAcentral.
AACGAACGCUGGCGGCAUGCCUAACACAUGCAAGUCGAACGAGACCUUCGGGUCUAGUGGCGCACGGGUGCGUAACGCGUGGGGACCUGCCCUUAGGUUCGGAAUAACUCCCCGAAAGGGGUGCUAAUACCGGAUAAUGUCUUCGGACCAAAGAUUUAUCGCCUUUGGAUGGGCCCGCGUUGGAUUAGCUAGUUGGUAGGGUAAAAGCCUACCAAGGCGACGAUCCAUAGCUGGUCUGAGAGGAUGAUCAGCCACACUGGGACUGAGACACGGCCCAGACUCCUACGGGAGGCAGCAGUGGGGAAUAUUGGACAAGGGGCGAAAGCGUGAUCCAGCAAUGCCGCGUGAGUGAUGAAGGCCUUAGGGUUGUAAAGCUCUUUUACCCGGGAUGAUAAUGACAGUACCGGGAGAAUAAGCUCCGGCUAACUCCGUG